This 101-nucleotide microRNA precursor is filed under the name Chlorocebus sabaeus (green monkey). RNAcentral's name for it is "miRNA (ENSCSAG00000021051.1)". The record is from RNAcentral. Lineage: Eukaryota; Metazoa; Chordata; Mammalia; Primates; Cercopithecidae.
UAUUAUGUUGGUGCAAAAGUAAUUACGGUUUUUGCCAUUAUCUUCAAUGGCAUUAUGAAGAUAAUGCCAAAAACCGUAAUUACUUUUGCACCAACAUAAUA